UGUGGUUUGCUUUUGAGUAUGU
This 22-nucleotide microRNA is filed under the name Melibe leonina. Its description in RNAcentral is "mle-miR-1988b-5p". The record is from miRBase by way of RNAcentral. Lineage: Eukaryota; Metazoa; Mollusca; Gastropoda; Nudibranchia; Dendronotidae.